GUCCUAGCCCUAAACGAUGGAUGCUUGGUGGUGAUCGGUACCCAAUCCGAUUGUGCCGUAGCUAACGCGUUAAGCAUCCCGGCCUGGGGAGUACGGUCGCAAAGGCUGAAACUCAAAGGAAUUGACGGGGGCCCGCACAAGCGGUGGAGCAUGUGGUUCAAUUCGACGCAACGCGAAGAACCUUACCUGGGCUCGAAGCACAGUGGACCGGGGUGGAAACAUCCCUUUUCGCAAGAACUGCUGUGGAGGUGCUGCAUGGCUGUCGU
This 266-nucleotide ribosomal RNA is filed under the name uncultured bacterium. Its description in RNAcentral is "partial 16S ribosomal RNA". It matches the Rfam family "Bacterial small subunit ribosomal RNA", at positions 793 to 1055 of the family's 1533-position model. The record is from RNAcentral.